GCUGUUUCAUGCGCUGGUCGAACACAAGAGCGAUAUUCACUCGUAAUGAAAAGGUCGCGAGUUCGAUUCUCGCAAGCGGCUCCA
Molecule: transfer RNA, 84 nt
Filed under: Corynebacterium suicordis
Lineage: Bacteria; Bacillati; Actinomycetota; Actinomycetes; Mycobacteriales; Corynebacteriaceae
Description: tRNA-Thr
Source: RNAcentral